RNAcentral lists this ribosomal RNA (414 nucleotides) under Labeo rohita (rohu). RNAcentral describes it as "partial 16S ribosomal RNA". It matches the Rfam family "Bacterial large subunit ribosomal RNA", at positions 1992 to 2554 of the family's 2925-position model. Lineage: Eukaryota; Metazoa; Chordata; Actinopteri; Cypriniformes; Cyprinidae. The record is from RNAcentral.
AUGAAUGGCUAAACGAGGGCUUAACUGUCUCCCCUUUCCAGUCAGUGAAAUUGAUCUGCCCGUGCAGAAGCGGACAUAAAAAUACAAGACGAGAAGACCCUUUGGAGCUUAAGGUACAAAACUCAACCACGUCAAGCGACUCAAUAAAAAGCAAAAACUUUGUGGAAUAUGAGAUUUUACCUUCGGUUGGGGCGACCACGGAGGAAAACAAAGCCUCCAAGUGGAUUGGGACAAACCUCCUAAAACCAAGAGAGACAUCUCUAAGCCACAGAACAUCUGACCAAACAUGAUCCGGCUGCCCGAAGCCGAUCAACGAACCAAGUUACCCUAGGGAUAACAGCGCAAUCCUCUCCCAGAGUCCAUAUCGACGAGAGGGUUUACGACCUCGAUGUUGGAUCAGGACAUCCUAAUGGU